RNAcentral lists this ribosomal RNA (449 nucleotides) under uncultured bacterium. RNAcentral's name for it is "partial 16S ribosomal RNA". It matches the Rfam family "Bacterial small subunit ribosomal RNA", at positions 354 to 796 of the family's 1533-position model. The record is from RNAcentral.
GUCGAGAAUCUUUCACAAUGGGGGCAACCCUGAUGGAGCGACGCCGCGUGGAGGAUAAGGUCUUCGGAUUGUAAACUCCUGUCAUGCGUGAACAAGGUUGCUUGGUUAAUACCUGGGCAAAUUGAUGGUAACGCAAGAGGAAGAGACGGCUAACUCUGUGCCAGCAGCCGCGGUAAUACAGAGGGCUCAAGCGUUGUUCGGAAUCACUGGGCGUAAAGGGUGCGUAGGUGGCGUGGUAAGUAAGAUGUGAAAGCCCGGGGCUCAACCUCGGAACUGUUUCCGAUACUGCCAUGCUAGAGUACUUGAGAGGUGACUAGAAUUCUCGGUGUAGCAGUGAAAUGCGUAGAUAUAGAGAGGAAUACCAAAGGCGUAGGCAGGUCACUGGACAGUUACUGACACUGAGGCACGAAGGCCAGGGGAGCGAACGGGAUUAGAAACCCUUGUAGUCC